This 898-nucleotide long non-coding RNA is filed under the name Heterocephalus glaber (naked mole-rat). RNAcentral describes it as "lncRNA (ENSHGLG00100050996.1)". The record is from RNAcentral. Lineage: Eukaryota; Metazoa; Chordata; Mammalia; Rodentia; Bathyergidae.
GUGAGGGAAUCCGGCCCCCGAAAGCUGAAAGGUCCUGGUCGGCUAGGUCCAGGGUGUGCCAGUGUAGACAGCCUGCUGUGGGGUGUAGCCUGCGGCCUUGGCGCCCCCCCCCCCCCCGCCAGAGCGGUGCCAUGGGGGGCUGUAGGAGCUGGGCCUGGGGGAAGGGGAUUAGGUCCCUGGGGUGUGGCCCUGCGGGGGCUGUUGGGACCCCGCCCCUUUCUGUCGCUCUCUGCUUCCCAGUGGCCAGGUAGGGGCGCAGUUCUUCCAUGACUUCUGAGUCCCCACAACCCCAAAACAUUGGAGCCAGGCGACUGGGACUGGAACCUCUGAGACCUAGCAAAAAGAUAAACCUUUCCUCUGUCUAAGUCAAUAGCUUAAUUAUUUUGUCAUAGUGUCAGGAAGCUAACACAGCAGGUUUAUAUAUAAAAUGCAGAAUGCUGAUGGGUUGUUUAUUGUCCCUGGGAAUUGUGUAGCCCUGGGGUAGGGCACCCUCCAGGGUUGGAUGUCAAAGUUUCCUAAAAUACAGAAAAUGAAAAAGGCAAAGUGAAUAUACCUUUGGAGUAGAAAGAGCUUCUCAAAAAGAUGGGCACACAGAACAGUUCUCAGCAAAUUUGAGAGAAAGGAACACAGAUUUCCCAUCAUUUCUUGCCUCUUGCCAGUAUCUCCUACUGAAGGGGAACAGUUGUCACAGAAGAUGAACCUAUGUGAUGUGGCAUCUUCAUCCAGCAUCCACAGGCGACAUCGGGCCCACACUUCGUGUCUGACCCUGUGGACUGAUGACAUGUGUCCACUGUUGUGGUGUUGUGCCGAGGAGUUUCACUGCCUGGAAAGUCCCCUGUGCUCCACCUGGUCAUCCUCCCUCCUCGCUCUGUAACCACCCAUUAUUUUACCUUUUCCA